GACCGAGAAGCCGCUGAGUGGGCCAGUGGGACCUGGGUCCGGACCGAGAAGCCGCUGAGUGGGCCAGUGGGACCUGGGUCCGGACCGAGAAGCCGCUGAGUGGGCCAGUGGGACCUGGGUCCGGACCCAGAAGCCUGCUCUGCUUGCAGUGGAUAACUUUCUUUCUGAAGUUCAUUUUCCAAGGACAAAGGGAUCAUUAGGACAAAGUAUUAUUACUGCUUCAUGGUGGAGAUGCUUCUGGUUUAUGUUGUGGCUGCCGCUGUUACUGCUUGGAGUGCCUCACCAAGCCGGCUAACAACUGCCCCACGUGCCCUUCAGGAUGCAAAGUCCUCUUCUCUAAAGUGCCUGCCGGGCCAGGUGCAGUGGCUCACGCCUGACCUCCCAACACUUUGGGAGGCCGAGGCGGGGGAAUCACUUGAGCACAGGAGUUUGAGACCAGCCUGGGCAACAUUGUGAGCCCCUGUUCCUUGAAUUGCCCUGGGAGAUUUCCUCAGCUUGUGCUGGCGGCAUGUGGCCCCAUGAAGCCCGUAGUCACUGUCCACCCUGAGGGACGCUGGCUUUGGGGCUCACACGCCUGCUGCGGGGCAGCCGCAGGAGAUGGCCGCCCUGUUCCUCCCUGGAGCUGGAGCUGCAGUGUGUUCUCAGCAGCUGUGGUGGCUGUUCUGUUUUGUUUGCAUCUUAUAAACCGUUUACCUGAUUACAGCUUCCUCUUCAAUUUAGCUGCUAGAAAAUUUAAAGUCCGGUUGGCGGCUCGCCAGUAAUGAGAGUUUAGAGUGGAGGUAAACUUUAUGACAGAGUCUUAGACCUCUUCACUUUCUCCUCAGCCAACAUGGUUAACAUUUACUGUAUUUUGCUGUACUGUGUCUUUGUGUUUCCUGAGUUCCUUCUGGAAUAAGGCAGGUCAUUAGUAAGCGCAGGUUUCUGGUCGUCUCACAGCCUCAGGCAGUGGGCGGUGCUGUUCGUGCUCCCUUUCCGGUUGCCUGUGGUAGCUCUCAAGUUGCAGGGCUGCGAUUUGAAGACUGAUUUAGUGCACCGUGUUUCUGUCGUGUUCUGUGGUG
Molecule: long non-coding RNA, 1058 nt
Organism: Rhinopithecus roxellana (golden snub-nosed monkey)
Lineage: Eukaryota; Metazoa; Chordata; Mammalia; Primates; Cercopithecidae
Exons: 2
Source: RefSeq, a predicted model, not a curated record